Molecule: transfer RNA, 75 nt
Filed under: Flavobacteriales bacterium
Lineage: Bacteria; Pseudomonadati; Bacteroidota; Flavobacteriia; Flavobacteriales
Description: tRNA-Glu
Rfam family: tRNA
About the family: Transfer RNA (tRNA) molecules are approximately 80 nucleotides in length. Their secondary structure includes four short double-helical elements and three loops (D, anti-codon, and T loops).
Source: RNAcentral
GCCCCGGUCGUCUAGUGGUUAGGACGCCAGGUUUUCAUCCUGGUAACCGGGGUUCGAUUCCCCGUCGGGGUACAA